CCUCAGGUGAAUUAGGAUCAGUCAAUCGCACGGAGCUCAGGUGAGACCGAUGGUUUGAACUGAUCCGGGUUUUGGACCGGUGUCUCCUCAGUGUGGCGCUCACCUGGUGAAAGAAUAACAAGCUGCUGCUGCUCCACACCAACCUGAGGACGUGGUUGAAAACUGCUAUAUUUUGUUUUCGUUGAAGAUACUUUGACGUCACAGCAGGACAGGUUCUGAUCUGUGGUCUGCAGGAAUCAAAUGAAAUAAACUCACUGCUGCGCGACACAUUCAAACAAUACAGCUGCAGGAACCAGAGCCUCCCUCCUCCACUCCCCUCACAGUGGCUCCAGUUCUCCCUCCAGUCUUUCCACUCGCUGGUUCUGGAGGAGCCGGUCUAUUGGCUGGUGGCUCUGUCGGCCCGGGCCUGGCUCCGUAGCUUCCUGGCUGAGGAGCUACUGCAGCGCAAGCCUGGUCCCCAGCUAAUGCCUGGGGUCGACUCCUCCUAUCAGGAGUGGAGCAGGGACAGUCUGCAGGAGGUCGCCUGGACCCACAGGUUCAAAGUGGUGAUGGAAGAGAACCAGGACAAGAUGGACGUGUUCAAAGCGAUCAACAUCUUCAGAGAACACAUGAUGAACCAGAAGAGUUUCUACAAAGCUUUAGACUGUGACGUUGAUGAUGAGGGCUGAUGAAGAGGAGCAGGUCGGAGCAGCUGCCGAAGAUGAGUCACAACUAUUUUUGCUGGUGAAUGUUUCCUGAGUCGCUGCUUUUACUACUUUUUUUUUGUAGUUCACUCUUUAUUGAAUCUUUUUUAAUAUAGAAAUUUGGCAUCAUCCAAAGAUUUAAAUGACACUUUGUUCUAGAGCUCAAAAUCAGUUUUUAAUCUGUAUUGUCUGUGUGAUACACAAAACUUAAUUUAAACAUAAUUCAGGAACUGGGGUUGAUAUUAUCCAAGUUUUAUGAUUUCCAGAGUUUCCAGUUUUUCGGGUCCAGACAGAAGCUGAAACUGUAAAAGUCCAAACUGUGUUACUGCUGAACACUGAGUGUGAACAAUAAAACAAUGACAACAAAAUAAAAUACACGGGACAGUGAGAGCUGCUACUUUGAGUUCACUUCACGUCUCAGCUCAGCCUUUUCACAAACACCUGUCUCUGUCUCCCCCUACAGGCUGAGUUAGGACACUGCACCAUUCAACAUGAACACAGCUGCAAAAUACUACUGCAGUAUUUGACUGGGUACUACUGAUACCACUCUCAUCAAUAUCCUACUGUCACCACCGCUGAUUAAACUACUUACAA
Long non-coding RNA from Hippoglossus stenolepis (Pacific halibut), 1277 nucleotides. RefSeq lists it as uncharacterized. NCBI's taxonomy places the organism in Eukaryota, Metazoa, Chordata, Actinopteri, Pleuronectiformes, Pleuronectidae. The transcript has 5 exons. The record is from RefSeq and is a predicted model, not a curated record.